AACAAGGCGUACCUGCGGACCUGCGGAGGGAUCAUUACAGAGUUGCAAAACUCCCUAAACCAUUGUGAACGUUACCUAAACCGUUGCUUCGGCGGGCGGCCCGGGUCCUUCCCGGCGCCCAUCGGCCCUCGCGGGCGCCCGCCGGAGGUAAACCAAACUAUUGCAUUGUAUGGCCUCUCUGAGUCUUCUGUACUGAAUAAGUCAAAACUUUCAGCAACGGAUCUCAGAUCGGAAGAGCAC
RNAcentral lists this unclassified non-coding RNA (240 nucleotides) under soil metagenome. RNAcentral describes it as "partial contains 5.8S ribosomal RNA, internal transcribed spacer 2, and large subunit ribosomal RNA". The record is from RNAcentral.